This 219-nucleotide unclassified non-coding RNA is filed under the name Hevea brasiliensis (rubber tree). The record is from RNAcentral. Lineage: Eukaryota; Viridiplantae; Streptophyta; Magnoliopsida; Malpighiales; Euphorbiaceae.
GAGUAACUGGAAAUGUAGCAACAUAGAAAAUUUAUUAGAAGAGAAAAAGCAAGCAGCAAGAGCCUAAAACGGGAAAAAAGUAGAGAUAGAACAGGAGUUGCAAUUCUGUAAUGUGGCAAUUUCACAUGCAGCUUCUGGUUUAGAUUGUUUGUUAAAGGUUAUGCAUUUUACAUAUGUUUUUCUAACAGGAAAAUUUUUGUAUGUGGUUAGAGUAGUGUG